UGGGGAAUAUUGCACAAUGGGCGAAAGCCUGAUGCAGCAACGCCGCGUGAGCGAUGAAGGCCUUCGGGUCGUAAAGCUCUGUCCUCAAGGAAGAUAAUGACGGUACUUGAGGAGGAAGCCCCGGCUAACUACGUGCCAGCAGCCGCGGUAAUACGUAGGGGGCUAGCGUUAUCCGGAAUUACUGGGCGUAAAGGGUGCGUAGGUGGUUUCUUAAGUCAGAGGUGAAAGGCUACGGCUCAACCGUAGUAAGCCUUUGAAACUGGGAAACUUGAGUGCAGGAGAGGAGAGUGGAAUUCCUAGUGUAGCGGUGAAAUGCGUAGAUAUUAGGAGGAACACCAGUUGCGAAGGCAGCUUACUGGGAUACAACUGACGCUGAGGCACGAAAGCGUGGGGAUCAAACA
RNAcentral lists this ribosomal RNA (401 nucleotides) under uncultured prokaryote. RNAcentral describes it as "bacterial SSU rRNA". It matches the Rfam family "Bacterial small subunit ribosomal RNA", at positions 355 to 774 of the family's 1533-position model. The record is from RNAcentral.